AACAAAAACAUCGCUUUAUGUAUAUUUAUAAAGUAAGACCUGCCCAAUGAUAAAAUUUAAUGGCCGCAGUAUUUUGACUGUGCAAAGGUAGCAUAAUAAUUAGUUUUUUAAUUAAAAGCUUGUAUGAAUGGUUUAAUGAAAUAUAUACUUUAUUAAUUUAAAUAUAAUAGAAUUUAAUUUUUUAGUUAAAAAGCUUAAAUUAUUUUAAAAGACGAGAAGACCCUAUAGAUCUUUAUUUAAUUAGUUAAAAAUAAUUUUUGUUUAUAUUAAUAUUUUAAUGAAUUAAAUUUUAUUGGGGUAAUAUAAAGAUUAAAAUAAUUCUUUAUUUUUUUAACCAUUUAUAUAUGAUUAUUUGAUCCUUUAUUAUGGAUUAUAAGAUUAAGUUACCUUAGGGAUAACAGCGUAAUUUUUUUGAAGAGUUCUUAUCAAUAAAAAAGAUUGCGACCUCGAUGUUG
RNAcentral lists this ribosomal RNA (455 nucleotides) under Orectogyrus pallidocinctus. RNAcentral describes it as "partial 16S ribosomal RNA". The stretch from base 1 to 139 matches the Rfam family "Archaeal large subunit ribosomal RNA", at positions 1898 to 2084 of the family's 2987-position model. Lineage: Eukaryota; Metazoa; Arthropoda; Insecta; Coleoptera; Gyrinidae. The record is from RNAcentral.